This 468-nucleotide ribosomal RNA is filed under the name uncultured bacterium. RNAcentral's name for it is "partial 16S ribosomal RNA". It matches the Rfam family "Bacterial small subunit ribosomal RNA", at positions 28 to 507 of the family's 1533-position model. The record is from RNAcentral.
GACGAACGCUGGCGGCGUGCUUAACACAUGCAAGUCGAACGGAAAGGCCCUGCUUUUGUGGGGUGCUCGAGUGGCGAACGGGUGAGUAACACGUGAGUAACCUGCCCUUGACUUUGGGAUAACUUCAGGAAACUGGGGCUAAUACCGGAUAGGAGCUCCUGCUGCAUGGUGGGGGUUGGAAAGUUUCGGCGGUUGGGGAUGGACUCGCGGCUUAUCAGCUUGUUGGUGGGGUAGUGGCUUACCAAGGCUUUGACGGGUAGCCGGCCUGAGAGGGUGACCGGCCACAUUGGGACUGAGAUACGGCCCAGACUCCUACGGGAGGCAGCAGUGGGGAAUAUUGCACAAUGGGCUGAAGCCUGAUGCAGCAACGCCGCGUGCGGGAUGACGGCCUUCGGGUUGUAAACCGCUUCCGCCUGUGACGAAGCGUGAGUGACGGUAAUGGGUAAAGAAGCACCGGCUAACUACGUG